This is a long non-coding RNA of Carassius carassius (crucian carp), 477 nucleotides long. RefSeq lists it as uncharacterized. The record is from RefSeq and is a predicted model, not a curated record. Lineage: Eukaryota; Metazoa; Chordata; Actinopteri; Cypriniformes; Cyprinidae. The transcript is spliced from 4 exons.
GCCUUGACAACAAUAUAUACAACAAUGUAAUUAUAUAAGGGCUAUUGUCAUUUGCAAUAUUAAUAUAUUAAAUAACUUAAUUAAAAUUUUUAUGGUGUUCUUUGGUCACUCAGUAAUUGUCUUAAUUUUCCAAUAGACUUUUACUGUCAGCAAUUUAGUUGUACAAUUAAGAUGGCUGAGCAGGACAUUGGUGCAGCAGAGGAUGCUAUGUUCCAUGCAGACCUGCUUUUGGCUCAAAUGAAAGAAAAACAAGAUGAGAAAAGUGCAACCCUAACGGUGAGAGUAAAUUUAAGUGGAUUGAGAGAGACUGUGAAGGUCGUACACUGCUGAAAAGAAAGAGCAGAAGCGGAAAAACGUGUAUGCGUUCUUCAGCUACAGUCCUGAAUCCUUGUGACCCAGCUGAGGAGGUACCCAUGGUGACAGAACAAAACAUGUCUCAACACUUACUUGACAGUGAGAUGCAGAAACUGCAGGAUA